AGCUUUGCACAGUGGUAGUAUUAUAACCAAUGAGGCUUAUCUAAGGCAUAAUUAUUGCUAAUUGAAAACUUUUCCCAAUACUCCACCAUGAUGACUUGAAAUAUAGUCAGCAUCGGCAAUUUUUGACAGCCUCUACGGAGA
This is a small nuclear RNA of Lemur catta (Ring-tailed lemur), 141 nucleotides long. RefSeq annotates it as U4 spliceosomal RNA. The record is from RefSeq and is a predicted model, not a curated record. The transcript has a single exon. NCBI's taxonomy places the organism in Eukaryota, Metazoa, Chordata, Mammalia, Primates, Lemuridae.